RNAcentral lists this ribosomal RNA (253 nucleotides) under uncultured bacterium. RNAcentral's name for it is "partial 16S ribosomal RNA". It matches the Rfam family "Bacterial small subunit ribosomal RNA", at positions 524 to 776 of the family's 1533-position model. The record is from RNAcentral.
UACGUAGGGUGCGAGCGUUAAUCGGAAUUACUGGGCGUAAAGCGCGCGCAGGCGGUCUUCCAAGUCAGUGGUGAAAGCCCGGAGCUCAACUCCGGAACUGCCAUUGAAACUGUAAGACUUGAGGAUGAGAGAGGUGAGUGGAAUUCCCAGUGUAGAGGUGAAAUUCGUAGAUAUUGGGAAGAACACCGGUGGCGAAGGCGGCUCACUGGCUCAUAUCUGACGCUCAGGCGCGACAGCGUGGGGAGCAAACAGG